CCCUUAGAUGUUCUGGGCAGCACGCGCGCUACAAUGGUCUUCGCAAACGGAUGCAUUCUCGAAGGAGAAUGCCAAUCUUGGAAUCUAUGCCUUGGUCGGGACAGUUGCUUGCAAUUUUUCGACUCGAACCAGGAAUUCCUUGUAAUCGUGAUUCAUAACAUCACGAUGAAUACGUCCCUGCCCUUUGUACACACCGCCCGUCGCUCCUACCGAUCGAAGAGUUAGGUGAAUUGUUUUGAUCGAUAAGAUUUGACUAUGGUCAACUCUCGUUGUGAAAUUCUGUGAAUCUGACUGUUUAGAGGAAGGAAAAGUCGUAACA
RNAcentral lists this ribosomal RNA (319 nucleotides) under uncultured eukaryote. RNAcentral's name for it is "partial 18S ribosomal RNA". It matches the Rfam family "Eukaryotic small subunit ribosomal RNA", at positions 1470 to 1796 of the family's 1831-position model. The record is from RNAcentral.